GGAUCUGCAGACAGCACUUCACGGAGGCAGACUUCGCGAAGAAGGGCACUUUCUAUGUGGCAACCCGGGAGUUUUGGAAUGGAAAGGAGUCAUAGGCCUACGUUGAAGCCCUCUGCCUGCGCCUCCAUUUGAAAAGUCGAGGGUUAUGGUGUUGGGGUUACCGACCGACCAUCAUCAACAUCGGUGACUUUGGAGUCAAGCAAAAGUGACUGAAUGAAGGAGGCGACGCGAGUCAAUGAGGAUGACAUCUUCAUCCCUGAAAAUGUUUUCAUCCUGGAGGAGACUGUUCAGGAGGCAGAGGAGGAAAGAACGGUUAGUACAGCAGGCCAAACUGACCCCUGGGUGCCAGAGUGUUUACCGGGACCAGCACUAAAGAGCUGGAUGUGCUACCUUGUCCCGGUCCUGCUGUUUCGACUCUCUCUCUCUCUCAACCUCAGCUAUGAAAAGCCAACUGACAUUUACUCCUGAGGUGUUGAACUGUUGCACCCUCUAUAACCACUAUGGUUAUUAUUUUGAUGUAAAAAACGGCUUUUGUAAAAUACGAUUGAUUGAUUGAUUCUUUUCUCUGCUGGAUGCUGUGUAUUCACUGUCUGAGUGAUGUGACAUUUUUAUAGUAUCUGUAACAUAUUUUGGUGUGUAUUUAAUCUCCACCUUAACUUGUAGUUGAGGGAAAUCCACAUAUUUUCCUUUCAUUUGCUAAAACUCAGCAAUCUCCGACUUCAGGUCCCACACCCCUUUAAGCACCUUCCCCAAGCUCAGCCAUCUCACAUUUGUGUGGUAGGGGAGAUCUGCAUGACCCGACUCAGUCUCUUCCAACAGUGAGACAAACUGCCUGUGGUUUAAAGAUUUUGCUCUGAUAAAGUGUACCACUUUAGUGACUGUAUCCACAACAUGGCUCAUUUUCAGAACACAUUUACAGAGCACCUCUUGAUAAAUAAUGCAAUGCAGGAAAACAAUUUCUGAUCUGGGUUCAGCUCAGCUACUUGAUCUUGUAUCCUUUUCAAAAGGCCAACGUUUUUUCCUGUCAAGUUUGGGCACCCAUCGGUGGUCACACUGGAUAACUUUUCAAAACUCAGUCCCAGCUUUGCCAGACACAUUAACCUCCUCCUACAAAUCCUUCCUUGUGGUUGUGCUCUUCAUUGACUACACUGAAGCAAGCUCCUCUGUAAUUUCAAAGUCUGGGGUUAUGCCUUGUAAGAAUAUCAACAAAUGCGCCAAGUCACAUGCAUCACUGCUCUCAUCCAGGGCCAAGGAGAAAUAGGUGGAAUCCUUUACCUCGUCUUUCAGCUAUUGUUUCAUAUUCUCUGUGGUGUCCUCAACACGUCAUGUCACUGUUCAUCUUGACAGGGAAACAUUUUCAAAAAGCUUUUUCUUGUUGGGGGAAAGUAUUUCUGCAGAGUCAAUUAAACAUUAUUUAAUGAAUUCGCCCUCAGUGAAUGGCUUGCUAUGAUUAGCAAUUUUGUGGAACAGUACGUAGCUAGCUCUCGCAAUCCCGUCGUUUGCUGAAUGCAGUUUUGUGAAAAGUCCUUGCUGCUUUGGCAACUGAGAAAGCAACUCUUUCGAUGCACUUGCCCUCUGCUCAGAAGACAUAUCCAAUAUUUCUCUGCAUGCUUCGUCUGGAAGUGUCGGGACAAGUUGUAGUCUUUCAAGACAGCGAUACUCUCUUUGCACACUAAGCACACAGCUUUCCCUGAUACCUCAAUAAAGAAAUAUU
Salmo salar (Atlantic salmon) is the source of this 1714-nucleotide non-coding RNA. The record is from RefSeq and is a predicted model, not a curated record. Lineage: Eukaryota; Metazoa; Chordata; Actinopteri; Salmoniformes; Salmonidae.